CAGCCGCGCGGGAAUACGUAGGGUGCAAGCGUUAAUCGGAAUUACUGGGCGUAAAGCGUGCGCAGGCGGUUAUAUAAGACAGAUGUGAAAUCCCCGGGCUCAACCUGGGAAUUGCAUUUGUGACUGUAUAGCUAGAGUACGGCAGAGGGGGAUGGAAUUCCGCGUGUAGCAGUGAAAUGCGUAGAUAUGCGGAGGAACACCGAUGGCGAAGGCAAUCCCCUGGGCCUGUACUGACGCUCAUGCACGAAAGCGUGGGGAGCAAACAGGAUUAGAUACCCCGGUAGUCCCUGUCUCUUAUACA
RNAcentral lists this ribosomal RNA (301 nucleotides) under uncultured bacterium. Its description in RNAcentral is "partial 16S ribosomal RNA". It matches the Rfam family "Bacterial small subunit ribosomal RNA", at positions 509 to 808 of the family's 1533-position model. The record is from RNAcentral.